Molecule: unclassified non-coding RNA, 341 nt
Filed under: soil metagenome
Description: partial contains 5.8S ribosomal RNA, internal transcribed spacer 2, and large subunit ribosomal RNA
Rfam family: 5.8S ribosomal RNA (bases 1-119)
Source: RNAcentral
GAUGAAGACGUAGCGAAAUGCGAUAAGUAGUGUGAAUUGCAGAAUUCAGUGAAUCAUCGAAUCUUUGAACGCACAUUGCGGCCAUAGGUAUUCCUUUGGCCAUGCCUGUUCGAGCGUCAUUUACACCCUCAAGCCUAGCUUGGUGUUGGGCGUCUGUCCCGCCGUUCUCGCGCGCGGACUCGCCUCAAAGUCAUUGGCGGCGGUCGUGCCGGCCCCCUCGCGCAGCACAUUUGCGCUUCUCGGAGGCCCGGCGGAUCCGCGCUCCAGCAAGACCUUUCACGACUUGACCUCGGAUCAGGUAGGGAUACCCGCUGAACUUAAGCAUAUCAAUAAGCGGAGGA